Long non-coding RNA from Dreissena polymorpha, 652 nucleotides. RefSeq lists it as uncharacterized. The record is from RefSeq and is a predicted model, not a curated record. NCBI's taxonomy places the organism in Eukaryota, Metazoa, Mollusca, Bivalvia, Myida, Dreissenidae. The transcript has 3 exons.
AUUGGCUAUCCGGGAGCUGUUUGAUGACGUAUCGCUUUGUAAAGCCAAUGAAAUAAAAGAUAACACUCCAAACUACAUGGUGAUAUAUUUUCGCAUGGCGUAUGACCUUUAGAAGUUGGUGAAAAUGUAAACAGAAUAAAGUCAUCGGAGAAUUUUACGAUAAAUAAGACCUUUUCAGGGACUUAUGUCAUGAAGUUAUGACUUAUCGUCUUAUGUCAAUACUCAAUAGACUGUAUUGUUUGAGUCAAAGAUUAGGUGUCUUAAAAUGGCUGGGAUUUUAUUAGAAUCGCAUAACCUUGAUACCGGGAAACAGGCCUUGACCAACAAAGAUGUUAUCACAGCUUUUGAACAAUUUUGUUGCGGGAAAAUUACUUUUAAAUCUUCUUUGUGCGAGUUCAAAGAGAGGUAUGGUACUCAGGUUUGUGAUCAAACUGAGGCCAGUCUGGGAAUGAAGAUUAGUAAAUUGUACAAAAGGGAAAGAAAACUUGUGCGUGAUAAGAAAAAUGCAGAGUUGGAAAAUUUUAGAGCUGAAGUAUUUGUCUUUCCCAAGAGCAAUAACUUAACUGUUGAUGAUGGUGCUGGAAGUGUUAAUUCUGAUAAGGUCCAGUUAUUAGCCAGUAAAACAAAACAUGUUGUAACUGAAAACAGAAAU